This 253-nucleotide ribosomal RNA is filed under the name uncultured bacterium. RNAcentral describes it as "partial 16S ribosomal RNA". It matches the Rfam family "Bacterial small subunit ribosomal RNA", at positions 524 to 776 of the family's 1533-position model. The record is from RNAcentral.
UACGUAGGGUGCAAGCGUUAAUCGGAAUUACUGGGCGUAAAGCGUGUGCAGGCGGUUAUGUAAGACAGAUGUGAAAUGCCCGGGCUUAACCUGGGAACUGCAUUUGUGACUGCAUGGCUAGAGUUUGGCAGAGGGGGGUAGAAUUCCACGUGUAGCAGUGAAAUGCGUAGAGAUGCGGAGGAACACCGAUGGCGAAGGCAGCCCCCUGGGCCAACACUGACGCUCAGGCACGAAAGCGUGGGGAGCAAACAGG